Molecule: ribosomal RNA, 116 nt
Organism: Danio rerio (zebrafish)
Lineage: Eukaryota; Metazoa; Chordata; Actinopteri; Cypriniformes; Danionidae
Source: Ensembl
AUCGGCAGCUAGCUCUCUGCAACUCUCACGUGGUCACCCACUGAAGCCAAGCAGGGCUGUGCCCGGUCAGUACCUGGAUGGGAGACCACAUAGGAAAAGCUGGAUUGCUGCCGGAA